CCCUUAGAUGUCCUGGGCUGCACGCGCGCUACACUGAUGUGUCCAGUAAGCACCUAACCUAUUCCGAGAGGAGCGGGUAACCUUAGCAAAGCACAUCGUGAUGGGGAUAGAUUAUUGCAAUUAUUAGUCUUGAACGAGGAAUUCCUAGUAAGCACAAGUCAUCAGCUUGUGCUGAUUACGUCCCUGCCCUUUGUACACACCGCCCGUCGCUCCUACCGAUUGAAUGUUCCGGUGAGCUCUUCGGACUGCGCGGUCUGCAGUUUCUGCGUUCCGUGCGGAAAGUUGUGCAAACCUUAACAUUUAGAGGAAGGAGAAGUCGUAACA
Molecule: ribosomal RNA, 324 nt
Filed under: uncultured eukaryote
Lineage: Eukaryota
Description: partial 18S ribosomal RNA
Rfam family: Eukaryotic small subunit ribosomal RNA
Source: RNAcentral